GUGUGGGGCGAGCGACUUUAGGUCGCGAAGCAAUUGGAAGUGGUUCCAAGAAAAGCCUCUAAGCUUCAGUCAUACGAGACCGUACCGCAAACCGACACAGGUGGGCGAGAUGAGUAUUCUAAGGCGCUUGAGAGAACUCGGGAGAAGGAACUCGGCAAAUUGGUACCGUAACUUCGGGAUAAGGUACGCCCUUGUAGUUUGACUGGCUCGCGCCAGAAGGACGAAGGGGUUGCAAUAAAAUGGUGGCUGCGACUGUUUAAUAAAAACACAGCACUCUGCAAACACGAAAGUGGACGUAUAGGGUGUGACGCCUGCCCGGUGCCGGAAGAUUAAAUGAUGGGGUGCAAGCUCUUGAUUGAAGUCCCGGUAAACGGCGGCCGUAACUAUAACGG
RNAcentral lists this ribosomal RNA (392 nucleotides) under Escherichia coli. Its description in RNAcentral is "partial 23S ribosomal RNA". It matches the Rfam family "Bacterial large subunit ribosomal RNA", at positions 1562 to 1948 of the family's 2925-position model. The record is from RNAcentral. Lineage: Bacteria; Pseudomonadati; Pseudomonadota; Gammaproteobacteria; Enterobacterales; Enterobacteriaceae.